GCCGGCGUAGCUCAACGGAAGAGCAGCUGAUUUGUAAUCAGCAGGUUAAGGGUUCGAAUCCCUUCGCUGGCUCCA
This 75-nucleotide transfer RNA is filed under the name Peptococcaceae bacterium SCADC1_2_3. RNAcentral's name for it is "tRNA-Thr". It matches the Rfam family "tRNA". From Rfam's summary of the family: Transfer RNA (tRNA) molecules are approximately 80 nucleotides in length. Their secondary structure includes four short double-helical elements and three loops (D, anti-codon, and T loops). Further hydrogen bonds mediate the characteristic L-shaped molecular structure. tRNAs have two regions of fundamental functional importance: the anti-codon, which is responsible for specific mRNA codon recognition, and the 3' end, to which the tRNAs corresponding amino acid is attached (by aminoacyl-tRNA synthetases). tRNAs cope with the degeneracy of the genetic code in two manners: having more than one tRNA (with a specific anti-codon) for a particular amino acid; and 'wobble' base-pairing, i.e. permitting non-standard base-pairing at the 3rd anti-codon position. The record is from RNAcentral. Lineage: Bacteria; Bacillati; Bacillota; Clostridia; Eubacteriales; Peptococcaceae.